RNAcentral lists this ribosomal RNA (698 nucleotides) under Irpex lacteus. Its description in RNAcentral is "eukaryotic LSU rRNA". The stretch from base 275 to 428 matches the Rfam family "5.8S ribosomal RNA". The record is from RNAcentral. Lineage: Eukaryota; Fungi; Basidiomycota; Agaricomycetes; Polyporales; Irpicaceae.
GGGAAGUAAAAGUCGUAACAAGGUUUCCGUAGGUGAACCUGCGGAAGGAUCAUUAUCGAGUUUUGAACGGGUUGUAGCUGGCCUCUCACGAGGCAUGUGCACGCCUGGCUCAUCCACUCUUAACCUCUGUGCACUUUAUGUAAGAGAAAAAAAUGGUGGAAGCUUCCAGGAUCUCGCGAGAGGUCUUCGGUUGAACAAGCCGUUUUUCUUUCUUAUGUUUUACUACAAACACUUCAGUUAUAGAAUGUCAACUGUGUAUAACACAUUUAUAUACAACUUUCAGCAACGGAUCUCUUGGCUCUCGCAUCGAUGAAGAACGCAGCGAAAUGCGAUAAGUAAUGUGAAUUGCAGAAUUCAGUGAAUCAUCGAAUCUUUGAACGCACCUUGCACUCCUUGGUAUUCCGAGGAGUAUGCCUGUUUGAGUCUCAUGGUAUUCUCAACCCCUAAAUUUUUGUAAUGAAGGUUUAGCGGGCUUGGACUUGGAGGUUGUGUCGGCCCUUGUCGGUCGACUCCUCUGAAAUGCAUUAGCGUGAAUCUUACGGAUCGCCUUCAGUGUGAUAAUUAUCUGCGCUGUGGUGUUGAAGUAUUUAUGGUGUUCAUGCUUCGAACCGUCUCCUUGCCGAGACAAUCAUUUGACAAUCUGAGCUCAAAUCAGGUAGGACUACCCGCUGAACUUAAGCAUAUCAAUAAGCGGAGGA